Chelonia mydas (Green sea turtle) is the source of this 115-nucleotide non-coding RNA. NCBI's taxonomy places the organism in Eukaryota, Metazoa, Chordata, Testudines, Cheloniidae. The record is from Rfam.
AUAAUGUGGUUUCUCUUCAAAUAUAUAAAUCUUUUACCUUUUACUAAAGAUUUCUGUGGAGAGGAAUGUUCACGAGUUUCUACCCAAUUUUUUGAGGUUUUGUUUUGGUGAGGCU